AGUGAACGCUGGCGGUAGGCCUAACACAUGCAAGUCGAACGGCAGCACAGUAAGAGCUUGCUCUUACGGGUGGCGAGUGGCGGACGGGUGAUGAAUACAUCGGAAUCUACUUUUUCGUGGGGGAUAACGUAGGGAAACUUACGCUAAUACCGCAUACGACCUACGGGUGAAAGCAGGGGAUCUUCGGACCUUGCGCGAUUGAAUGAGCCGAUGUCGGAUUAGCUAGUUGGCGGGGUAAAGGCCCACCAAGGCGACGAUCCGUAGCUGGUCUGAGAGGAUGAUCAGCCACACUGGAACUGAGACACGGUCCAGACGCCUACGGGAGGCAGCAGUGGGGAAUAUUGGACAAUGGGCGAAAGCCUGAUCCAGCAAUACCGCGUGGGUGAAGAAGGCCUUCGGGUUGUAAAGCCCUUUUGUUGGGAAAGAAAAGCAGCAGGUUAAUACCCCGCUGUUCUGACGGUACCCAAAGAAUAAGCACCGGCUAACUUCGUG
This 492-nucleotide ribosomal RNA is filed under the name uncultured bacterium. RNAcentral describes it as "partial 16S ribosomal RNA". It matches the Rfam family "Bacterial small subunit ribosomal RNA", at positions 29 to 507 of the family's 1533-position model. The record is from RNAcentral.